UUUUUUCUUACAAUUUAGCUUUAGUCCAACACAACUCAUCCCUUCGGUCGCUAGUUCUUCUCUUCAACUUCCUGUCUCAAGAUAUCAUUGUCUUCCUAGAGAGAUAUGGAUCGAAAUUAACAUAGAAAAAGCCUGUGAAAUUUCAAUACAAAACAAGGUUUGUGAAGGUUAAGAACAGAACCUCACUUACUUGAAUAAAUGGAUACAUGAUGGCACCUCGAGUUUUG
This 227-nucleotide long non-coding RNA is filed under the name Manihot esculenta (cassava). Its description in RNAcentral is "long non-coding RNA (MESC_LNC000523)". Lineage: Eukaryota; Viridiplantae; Streptophyta; Magnoliopsida; Malpighiales; Euphorbiaceae. The record is from RNAcentral.